UUGGAAGUUGGGAUAGAACUAUUUGGAGGGAAUCUGUAAUAAACAAGCACUGUUUUCUGAGAACCCUGGGUAUUGCUCAAAGGUUCAAGAAUAGCAGGAAUCAAAUUUAUCACUAGCAUAACAGGGCAUAAUUAUGUCAAAUGAACUGCUCCCCCCCUCCCCGUACUUGAAGGGUGAAUUUGGCCACAGAGUAAAACAGGACAUUCUGGAACUUGUUGCCUUCACAAACAAUCAACAAUACCCAAUUAACACUACACUACAUUUUAUUUAAAAUGACUAUAGCUCAAUGGAUUUGUGAGUGAAGACCAACUUGGUAGCAUCAUUUCUUGUCUAGAGAACUGUAUCUUCAGGGACCAGGACCUGGGAUCAGGGCCUGCAUUUGAAACAAUUCGAUUUAUUCUCUGCACAGGAAGAAGAACCAAACAGAUUUUCCCAUUUUCAAGGAAACCAUUUACCUAUUGAAUCAGAACAUUAUCUACAGCCACUUCCUUUACUUAGGUAACCCAUACCACUACCAGGUGGCUCUCCAUCCCCCUUGCUCAUGACUUGACCACAGCCUCCUACACCUGUUGACUUAACCAAACUGAUAGUUUGCAGAAUCUAAAACCAGAACCUGUGAAUUUAAGAGCAUGAGUUUGUACUCCUUGAGCCAAGGAGCAGCUCCAUUAGCGUAAAGGCCAUAUUAGACCAAAACUUUUAUGGAGACCUACUUAUACAGUAAUCAAGCCACUAAAGGGUGGAACCAAACCAAAAUAUUGUAUUUACUUGCAUAUCACACAUCAAAAAAUGAGGCCUCCAAAACUGGGGUAUGUGUGUUUAAGCAGGGAAGCUGAUUUCUGUGCCAGAAUUGAAACACAGGGAUGCUGUAAUGGUUGCUGGUGCUGUCUUUCCCAGCUAGGGAAGGGGGAAUGAAGCAUACUGUUCAGCAUCAUAGUUAAUUUUAUCCCUUUCAGAGUCACUGCUGAGUUGUUAGCAAUUUUUAGCUGAGCAAGUUUUUUUUCUUUAUUGUGCCUAUUCAAAACAAGGUGCGUUACAAGGAUAUAUAGCACGUUAGCAUUGUCUAAGGCCAGAGGUUUUCUACCACUGGGAUGUGAAGGGUUGGCUGCCAGGUUGUGGCACAAGCCCCCUGCUCGGACCCCCAUCUGUCUCCCCAGGUGAGCAGCUUCUGGAGCAGCUGGAGAAUGGGGCAGCCCUUGGGGGGGAGGCAGCCGGCUCAGUGCACCUCAUCCCACUCCAGUUCUAGUCCAUAGGUUGCGAACCACUGGUCUAGGCUUACUUCAUCCAUUAACCCAGCUCCACUGCUUUUCUGGGCUGAACACCUAAGGAUAAUUCUGCUUAUUUAUAUCAAACACCCAACCAUAAACAAUAUACUUUCUUGGUUUUCUUCUUAAUAACCUCACUCCGUUUUAUACUGCCUUUUGCUUAGAACACCAUUUUCACAAGGUCAAGCUUAAAGGGAGCCAUUUUCAAGAAAUAUAUUAGCCAAAAUUUUCAGAGGGUCUAAAUCUAAAGUCCUCCUCUCCCCCUCUGCUGUCUUGUGUUCGAUGCUGUUUUCAUUACUAAGAGUCACACUACAUUCCCUAAACAGGCUUACCAUUUUAGGGAAUUAUCCUUUCAGGAUUGUUAUUGAAAUAUUCUUGGCAGGUGGGUCUUCAUGUUUGCCCCAAAAGGGAGGAGACAGGAGUGUUAAAUUACAAAACACCUGUCUUUAGCAAACAGAAAAUGGCAUAAGCAACUAUUUUGAUAACAUAAUUUUCAGUAACAUUUUACUUUUAGGCUAGAAAGUCUUCUUGCCCCUUGUUCACCUCUCUUUACAUUCAUUUCAUCCAGACAUUACCUUCAUAAAUCAUGUUGCCAAUUCUUACAACUGUCCCUUAUGGUAAGAUUCUUGGGAAUAACUUCACUAAAUUAUUUCCUAAAAGGAGUGUGGAUAUGAUGGAAGAAAUCUGUUGAGUAAGUUUGUUACCUUGUGCUGUCUUUUGCUACAGAAGUGAGCGACAAUGGCAAAGAGUUCUUGCACAAAUAUACGUCUCUGUAAUCCAGCAGUGCUGGAGAUGAAGCAAUGUUAUUUUGUGAAAGUAAAAUUUUAUUUCAGUUUUGUUUUUACUUUUUAUUACUGGAGGCGUUGUAGUAUUAUUAAGGCACAGACCUAGCAGUCAGGAACCCUGGGUUUUGCUCACAGAUUUUUAACAAUCUUCCUGUGUGACUCCAUGGGCAAGUUAUUUCAGUUGUAAACCUUCCUUCCCAUCUACAAAAUAGUGGUGCUACCAUUUACUCAAUUCAUACACUUACAUGGGAGACUUAAAUAAAAUGAUCGUAAAGUACUUGUUUAUUAUUAAGUUGCAAAGUUAUUUCUUACCUUAAAUCUUAGUUUUACCUAGUUACUAUUCAUUAAAACAAUGGGUGAGAGCUUUGUUAUGUAUUUUUUAGAACUGAGUUUGGCUUAAGUUUCUGUUUUUAUCUUCAGCUUGAUUACCUUUUCCCCCUCCUUGAAAUAUUUGUAAAGCAAGAGAAAACAGAGUGAGAUGUUCUAAGGAUUGAUGGAUUCUACUACUUUAGUUUUGCUAGCAGUAGAAUGUAUAUCCCUUCAAAUGAGACUGAUGCAACUGAAAUCAGAUCAAAAUUACAGGUAAGAAUUGAUGCCCAAUCUUUUAAAGCUCUUCCAACUUUUUAAAUGAUAUUUACAACAACCUCAAAUCCUAACACUUUGUUACAAGGAGUUGCUGGUUAAAUAAGCCUAACAUUGGACUGGUCCACUUGCCAAGAACAGCAUUAGCAUUUUAAUGCAUCUUAUUUCCUGAGCUAGGACAGAUCAAGCCCACUACAAAUAUGGUACACGCAGUUGCCAGAGGAAAGGUUAAUUUAAUCUCUCUACUAUGACUUCUGCUAGUUGAAAGGGAAUUAAUUUCAGCCCACCUCUCUAGUAGACAAUAGAAGGAACUAAAGGCAUUAAACACAGACAGAUAAAUAGCUUAGAUACAGAGAAAAAGCAGGAUUUUCAUGGAGGUACACAUUAAGACACAGUUCCACAACUGGUUCAAUCCUGUAUUACACAAGCACAGCCAGCUGCAUAAUUACGGAAGAACUUCAGUCUUUUGAGAUGAGGAGAAGAAGAAUUAAAACUAUAAGGGACAGAAUCACACAACUGUGUGACAUUCGGAAGACAUGUCCUGGUGCCACAGAAGGGUGGUAGAAAAAAAGGGAAUUAAACUAUUCACAUGGCUAGAUAAAAUUCACUGUCUGUGAUCACAAUAGAAAAAAAAAUCUAAAGUGCAGUAUAACCCAUAAUCUCAAAAAUUGCUUGGACUAUAUAAUCUAUGCCAUACAACAUCAAGUAGCUAGAGAAACAUAUACAGUAGGUUAACAUUUUAGACAAUAAUCUGGAUAGUUUCAAGACUAGUCACCAUAUCAAAACUUUAAAAAAAUUAAGCUUUUGAAUAUACCCUUUUCCCUUAGCAUUUCUCAUAGACUUAACAUUUUACAUUGCAGAAUUUGACAUAUUACAAAGUACAGAUUUUGAUUGCUUCCAUUUUGCAGACUUAGUAAUUCAGAAGGAAAAAUCACAGCCUACUAUUGUAUAUUUCAGCAUUUCCUUAUGCCAGCUAUAAUUAGUGGCAAAGACAGGAUGACAAAACAUUGAAUUAUUGUACACUUUUACAGCAAAUUAACUGCAUCUCAUUCUCCCUCUCCCCCCCACCUUUUUUUAAACACUGGACAAUCAAUGCACAAAGGAACUUAUUUACAUGGAACACCAUCACAUUCAUCUUUGUUGAUCAUCUCAUGUAAACACCCAAAAUGUAUGGCUGAUGAAGAAUGGUGUAUACUUAGAAGGUAACGGAUGAUGAUCAGUCACUAUGCAGAGUGUAGUAAAAGGAGAAUAACUAACAAAAUAAGUUAUAAUGGUAGGUUUUCACUUUCUACAACAGAAUAAAGAUGUAACAAACAUUUUUGUGUACUUGCAGAGUUAGAAAAAGGACCUGGUUUAGAAGAAUUUUUUUUUAGAAAGUACAAAGGUGAGGCUUGUUAAAGAGUUGAGUAACUUGAGUCUGGUUGCCUUAUUUUACCAUUUUUUUUCCUACACAGCUAACAGCACCAUCACACCACUUUAAGCUGUAGAAGAGCAAAACAAUUCUAAUUGUUGUAUGCAUCAGUAGUAAUGGCAAGCUAAAUAUUAUUUGUUUUUUCUGCCUUCAUACUACAGCUUGAUGUUCAGAUUCUACCUGGAGUACGUAGUACUGACAGUUAACAACAAAUCAUGCAAUUUCACAAAUGGAGAAUAUUUGAUUUAAAUAUUUUCAAUUAAUAGAAACAAGGUUCCUAAAGUGUGUGCGGGAGGGGGCUGGGGGUUGGGUUUUUUUGUUUUGUUUGUUUGUUUGUUUACAAUCACUUGUUCCAUUUCAACCACAUAUUAAACUGGCUCUUAAAGAUGCUAAGGAUUGCUUUCCUUACUAAUGAUAUUAUAGCAAUGACUGCUUAUUUAUACAAAUGGAAAGACCUGCUGCUGCCAGACCUACGUCUAUCCAUAAUAAGUUUAAUGGUAACAAGGGUUUGAUUUAGUGAAUUAUUGGUGCUUCCUUACCAUUUUAUGCUUGCAAAAAUACUGAAAUGUGUUAACAUUUCACACGCAUAUCAUAUUAAGGACAUUGCACUAAUUCACUACCAUUAUACUUAUAAACUCCAAAGAUUAGGUUUCCCUGUAAUUCAUUAACUCAAGACACUCUGCACAUAGUGCCACCUAAAAUAUAUUGUAAGAAAAUAAAACUGAGAAAUAUGUAUGCCAAUUCUUGCAAUGGAAAAUACAUAAUGUUGACACCCAGUCUACCCCCAACCUAAAAACAUUUAUGAAACUCAAAAUUCAAUGUUUAAAGAGAUAUUUAAAUCUGAGAAGAAAACCGAAAUGAAGAAAUGUACUGUUUAGUAAGAUAAAGUAUAAUACAUUUUAACUAGGUCAGUAGUUAUUCAUUUGAAAUAGCCUAUAAUUAACAUUGGAUUUUUAAAAGCUUAACAGCAACACCAAGGAAUGAGGUAUGUAAGUUUUUAGAUAUCACAUCAGACUUUCAUUUUAUGCAACUAACUGUAUUUCACAACUAGCAUCUUACAAAAUAGACAGUACCAUUGUGCCUGUAGAAGUACUGCAUUAAAAACAGAAAAAUACAUUACUACAAGAAACCACCAAACAUCACAAUUGUCAGGGGCUACAAAAAUCCAUUACUUUUGCUGUUAUGAGAUGUUUUAAAUGUAGGUAAUAUUUUAGGGCUGGAUUUACUACCAAAAAUUCUAUCCAACUUUCAUACUGGCCCAAAAUAUUUUGAACAAGAGAAAGAUAGGAGAGAAUCAAGAAAGUGGGCUUCCUUACUACAGAAACCAAAUGGAUUUUUGUAUUGAAUCUGAACUUAUUUUUUAAAUCUAUAUAUGGACCUUUGUGCAUCAAAAACAUUUAUUGGUUGUAAACAAAAAUGCAAAAUCUGUAUUCAUAAAAAUAUUUUAUUGGUAAUUUUACAUAAUACCAGAUGGGAUUGUAAAUAUUUUUGCUCUAUAUUGGUAUAUUGCUAAAUGCAUAAAUUUUGACAGUUUAUGCCAGAAAAUAGGGUUAUUUUUUUCUUAUGAUCGAUGCAAUAAUAUUAAAUAUAGGGCCAAAUCAAGAUCUAGUAAAUUAAACAUAAAGCAAUGGCAUUAUUUGUUAUUUUCUUACUCAAGUGCACUAU
Molecule: long non-coding RNA, 5705 nt
Organism: Gavialis gangeticus (Gharial)
Lineage: Eukaryota; Metazoa; Chordata; Crocodylia; Gavialidae
Exons: 3
Source: RefSeq, a predicted model, not a curated record